CGCGUAGGCGGGAUGGCAAGUCGGUCGUGAAAUCCCUCGGCUCAACCGAGGAACGUCGAUCGAUACUGCUGUUCUUGAGGAUUGCAGAGGAGACUGGAAUUCCCGGUGUAGCGGUGAAAUGUGUAGAGAUCGGGAGGAACACCGGUGGCGAAGGCGGGUCUCUGGGCAAUUCCUGACGCUGAGGCGCGAAAGCGUGGGGAGCAAAC
This 206-nucleotide ribosomal RNA is filed under the name uncultured bacterium. RNAcentral's name for it is "partial 16S ribosomal RNA". It matches the Rfam family "Bacterial small subunit ribosomal RNA", at positions 568 to 773 of the family's 1533-position model. The record is from RNAcentral.